RNAcentral lists this transfer RNA (77 nucleotides) under Hyphomicrobiales bacterium. RNAcentral describes it as "tRNA-Arg". It matches the Rfam family "tRNA". From Rfam's summary of the family: Transfer RNA (tRNA) molecules are approximately 80 nucleotides in length. Their secondary structure includes four short double-helical elements and three loops (D, anti-codon, and T loops). Further hydrogen bonds mediate the characteristic L-shaped molecular structure. tRNAs have two regions of fundamental functional importance: the anti-codon, which is responsible for specific mRNA codon recognition, and the 3' end, to which the tRNAs corresponding amino acid is attached (by aminoacyl-tRNA synthetases). tRNAs cope with the degeneracy of the genetic code in two manners: having more than one tRNA (with a specific anti-codon) for a particular amino acid; and 'wobble' base-pairing, i.e. permitting non-standard base-pairing at the 3rd anti-codon position. The record is from RNAcentral. Lineage: Bacteria; Pseudomonadati; Pseudomonadota; Alphaproteobacteria; Hyphomicrobiales. RNAcentral also lists the same sequence under 3 other names.
GCGCCGGUAGCUCAGCUGGAUAGAGUAUCUGACUACGAAUCAGGAGGUCGGGGGUUCGAAUCCUCCCCGGCGCGCCA